UGCAGGCUAGCUUUUACUUACAUAGUACCUAUACUAUAAUGAAUAUUAUUCAUUUUAAAUUUUAAUAUGACGGUUACUACUAUGAUUCUGUGACGAUGAUGGUGUGUCCUUUUUUUUCUGCAUGUGAACAAUUUUUCUACCAGAAAUCUUGCUCCAAUUAUUUGGGCCCGAAACGGCGAAGCUCAUUCAUUUAGACACGCGAAGGAGAAGCGUUCUUUCACCGACCGGAGUAUAUCAGAUUUUCUGUUUUUACUCAGUUUUCAGAGGACCACCCCUGGUGGUUUUCUCUCUACAUUGCUAUUUAGCAACAUUUUAAAAAGAUCAACAAAUAUCUUAAAAAAUUAACUGACAUACUUUGCACUUGGAUGCAGCCACUGUUGUAGGUGAGAAGUUGAAAGGGUAG
This is a non-coding RNA of Cinara cedri, 403 nucleotides long. Lineage: Eukaryota; Metazoa; Arthropoda; Insecta; Hemiptera; Aphididae. The record is from the annotation of a GenBank genome assembly.